GGUUAAGCGACUAAGCGUACACGGUGGAUGCCCUGGCAGUCAGAGGCGAUGAAGGACGUGCUAAUCUGCGAAAAGCGUCGGUAAGGUGAUAUGAACCGUUACAGCCGGCGAUGUCCGAAUGGGGAAACCCAGUGUGAUUCGUCACACUAUCGUUAACUGAAUACAUAGGUUAACGAGGCGAACCGGGGGAACUGAAACAUCUAAGUACCCCGAGGAAAAGAAAUCAACCGAGAUUCCCCCAGUAGCGGCGAGCGAACGGGGAGCAGCCCAGAGUCUGAAUCAGCUUGUGUGUUAGUGGAACGGUCUGGAAAGUCCGACGGUACAGGGUGAUAGUCCCGUACACCAAAAUGCACAGGCUGUGAACUCGAAGAGUAGGGCGGGACACGUGGUAUCCUGUCUGAAUAUGGGGGGACCAUCCUCCAAGGCUAAAUACUCCUGACUGACCGAUAGUGAACCAGUACCGUGAGGGAAAGGCGAAAAGAACCCCGGCGAGGGGAGUGAAAAAGAACCUGAAACCGUGUACGUACAAGCAGUGGGAGCACCUUCGGGUGUGACUGCGUACCUUUUGUAUAAUGGGUCAGCGACUUAUAUUCUGUAGCAAGGUUAACCGUAUAGGGGAGCCGCAGGGAAACCGAGUCUUAACUGGGCGUUAAGUUGCAGGGUAUAGACCCGAAACCCGGUGAUCUAGCCAUGGGCAGGUUGAAGGUUGGGUAACACUAACUGGAGGACCGAACCGACUAAUGUUGAAAAAUUAGCGGAUGACUUGUGGCUGGGGGUGAAAGGCCAAUCAAACCGGGAGAUAGCUGGUUCUCCCCGAAAGCUAUUUAGGUAGCGCCUCGUGAAUUCAUCUUCGGGGGUAGAGCACUGUUUCGGCUAGGGGGUCAUCCCGACUUACCAACCCGAUGCAAACUACGAAUACCGAAGAAUGUUAUCACGGGAGACACACGGCGGGUGCUAACGUCCGUCGUGAAGAGGGAAACAACCCAGACCGCCAGCUAAGGUCCCAAAGUCAUGGUUAAGUGGGAAACGAUGUGGGAAGGCACAGACAGCCAGGAUGUUGGCUUAGAAGCAGCCAUCAUUUAAAGAAAGCGUAAUAGCUCACUGGUCGAGUCGGCCUGCGCGGAAGAUGUAACGGGGCUAAACCAUGCACCGAAGCUGCGGCAGCGACACUAUGUGUUGUUGGGUAGGGGAGCGUUCUGUAAGCCUGCGAAGGUGUGCUGUGAGGCAUGCUGGAGGUAUCAGAAGUGCGAAUGCUGACAUAAGUAACGAUAAAGCGGGUGAAAAGCCCGCUCGCCGGAAGACCAAGGGUUCCUGUCCAACGUUAAUCGGGGCAGGGUGAGUCGACCCCUAAGGCGAGGCCGAAAGGCGUAGUCGAUGGGAAACAGGUUAAUAUUCCUGUACUUGGUGUUACUGCGAAGGGGGGACGGAGAAGGCUAUGUUAGCCGGGCGACGGUUGUCCCGGUUUAAGCAUGUAGGCUGGUUGUCCAGGCAAAUCCGGAUAAUCAAGGCUGAGGUGUGAUGACGAGGCACUACGGUGCUGAAGUAACAAAUGCCCUGCUUCCAGGAAAAGCCUCUAAGCAUCAGGUAACAUCAAAUCGUACCCCAAACCGACACAGGUGGUCAGGUAGAGAAUACCAAGGCGCUUGAGAGAACUCGGGUGAAGGAACUAGGCAAAAUGGUGCCGUAACUUCGGGAGAAGGCACGCUGGUGUGUAGGUGAAGUCCCUGCGGAUGGAGCUGAGACCAGUCGAAGAUACCAGCUGGCUGCAACUGUUUAUUAAAAACACAGCACUGUGCAAACACGAAAGUGGACGUAUACGGUGUGACGCCUGCCCGGUGCCGGAAGGUUAAUUGAUGGGGUUAUCCGUAAGGAGAAGCUCUUGAUCGAAGCCCCGGUAAACGGCGGCCGUAACUAUAACGGUCCUAAGGUAGCGAAAUUCCUUGUCGGGUAAGUUCCGACCUGCACGAAUGGCGUAAUGAUGGCCAGGCUGUCUCCACCCGAGACUCAGUGAAAUUGAACUCGCUGUGAAGAUGCAGUGUACCCGCGGCAAGACGGAAAGACCCCGUGAACCUUUACUAUAGCUUGACACUGAACAUUGAGCCUUGAUGUGUAGGAUAGGUGGGAGGCUUUGAAGCGUGGACGCCAGUCUGCGUGGAGCCAACCUUGAAAUACCACCCUUUAAUGUUUGAUGUUCUAACGUUGGCCCCUUACCGGGGUUGCGGACAGUGUCUGGUGGGUAGUUUGACUGGGGCGGUCUCCUCCCAAAGCGUAACGGAGGAGCACGAAGGUUAGCUAAUCCUGGUCGGACAUCAGGAGGUUAGUGCAAUGGCAUAAGCUAGCUUGACUGCGAGCGUGACGGCGCGAGCAGGUGCGAAAGCAGGUCAUAGUGAUCCGGUGGUUCUGAAUGGAAGGGCCAUCGCUCAACGGAUAAAAGGUACUCCGGGGAUAACAGGCUGAUACCGCCCAAGAGUUCAUAUCGACGGCGGUGUUUGGCACCUCGAUGUCGGCUCAUCACAUCCUGGGGCUGAAGUAGGUCCCAAGGGUAUGGCUGUUCGCCAUUUAAAGUGGUACGCGAGCUGGGUUUAGAACGUCGUGAGACAGUUCGGUCCCUAUCUGCCGUGGGCGCUGGAGAAUUGAGGGGGGCUGCUCCUAGUACGAGAGGACCGGAGUGGACGCAUCACUGGUGUUCGGGUUGUCAUGCCAAUGGCACUGCCCGGUAGCUAAAUGCGGAAGAGAUAAGUGCUGAAAGCAUCUAAGCACGAAACUUGCCCCGAGAUGAGUUCUCCCUGAGACUUUAAGUCUCCUGAAGGAACGUUAAAGACGAUGACGUUGAUAGGCCGGGUGUGUAAGCGCAGCGAUGCGUUGAGCUAACCGGUACUAAUGAACCGUGAGGCUUAACCUU
This 2902-nucleotide ribosomal RNA is filed under the name Klebsiella pneumoniae. RNAcentral's name for it is "23S ribosomal RNA". It matches the Rfam family "Bacterial large subunit ribosomal RNA". Lineage: Bacteria; Pseudomonadati; Pseudomonadota; Gammaproteobacteria; Enterobacterales; Enterobacteriaceae. The record is from RNAcentral.